Hyla sarda is the source of this 815-nucleotide long non-coding RNA. RefSeq lists it as uncharacterized. The record is from RefSeq and is a predicted model, not a curated record. The transcript is spliced from 3 exons. NCBI's taxonomy places the organism in Eukaryota, Metazoa, Chordata, Amphibia, Anura, Hylidae.
CGGAGCGUUACUAAGGGACGGGGCGACCAUAGCAACCGAAAACUACGGCGAGCGGGAGGGACAAACUUCCUAAAGCGUUCAGCAGUCAGUGUAUAGGAGCAGGACGGAGGAGAGAAGAUAGCGGGAAAAUACAUAGCGGGCCUGGACAACUGUAUCCAGCAGAGCUCGCAUUCCCGUGGCCAUCUUCAAAAGCUUCAGCACUACAAGGACAAGCAGACAAAAUGUUAUGGCGACAUGUGACGACUACUGUUCCCUGUUACUAUAGGUGAGAAACGAUGAAAGAGAAGACUGUUCCAAAGUAGCAAGAAAGAAAGUCUGGCACAGAAAGCAGGUAUAGUUAAUCACAAGCAAAUUGCUGUCGAUAUAAUAAACAUGGCUGCUUGUUCCAUUGAGCGGAGGUAACACAUCAUUAUGUAACUGUACGGAGAAGCACGGCUACAGCAAGGAAGAUCAAGGACAUUUACAAGGCUCAAGUCUCUUGUGUUUAUAAUAGCUUUUGAGAAACAUUACUGACUACGGACAUUCUUCUCUUAUUACAGGCAAAUGACUUUGUUUGAGUUUUUGGCCUCCGAAUAAAUGAGAACAAUUUUUUUAACCAGGCCCUAGAGCAGCUGAGACCUUCCCGUGCCAACAACGUGCUGUGAAGUGAUAGCAUUACCCACUCUAUAAACCGGGCAGGAAGUUGCUGCUUUUGAUUACUAUGAACAGACAUUAAAGCUGACAUAGACAUUUGUUAAAGUUUAAAAUUAGUUUGUAGUGUAAUUUUUUUUUUUACAAAACGUUCAAGAGAUUUGGUUUUGGUUUUGAUGAAGAGA